Molecule: ribosomal RNA, 492 nt
Filed under: uncultured bacterium
Lineage: Bacteria
Description: partial 16S ribosomal RNA
Rfam family: Bacterial small subunit ribosomal RNA
Source: RNAcentral
AGUGAACGCUGGCGGUAGGCCUAACACAUUCAAGUCGAACGGCAGCACAGUAAGAGCUUGCUCUUACGGGUGGCGAGUGGCGGACGGGUGAGGAAUACAUCGGAAUCUACUUUUUCGUGGGGGAUAACGUGGGGAAACUUACGCUAAUACCGCAUACGACCUACGGGUGAAAGCAGGGGAUCUUCGGACCUUGCGCGAUCGAAUGAGCCGAUGUCGGAUUAGCUAGUUGGCGGGGUAAAGGCCCACCAAGGCGACGAUCCGUAGCUGGUCUGAGAGGAUGAUCAGCCACACUGGAACUGAGACACGGUCCAGACUCCUACGGGAGGCAGCAGUGGGGAAUAUUGGACAAUGGGCGCAAGCCUGAUCCAGCCAUACCGCGUGGGUGAAGAAGGCCUUCGGGUUGUAAAGCCCUUUUGUUGGGAAAGAAAAGCAGCAGGUUAAUACCCCGCUGUUCUGACGGUACCCAAAGAAUAAGCACCGGCUAACUUCGUG